GACGAACGCUGGCGGCGUGCUUAACACAUGCAAGUCGAACGGAAAGGCCCUGCUUUUGUGGGGUGCUCGAGUGGCGAACGGGUGAGUAACACGUGAGUAACCUGCCCUUGACUUUGGGAUAACUUCAGGAAACUGGGGCUAAUACCGGAUAGGAGCUCCUGCUGCAUGGUGGGGGUUGGAAAGUUUCGGCGGUUGGGGAUGGACUCGCGGCUUAUCAGCUUGUUGGUGGGGUAGUGGCUUACCAAGGCUUUGACGGGUAGCCGGCCUGAGAGGGUGACCGGCCACAUUGGGACUGAGAUACGGCCCAGACUCCUACGGGAGGCAGCAGUGGGGAAUAUUGCACAAUGGGCGGAAGCCUGAUGCAGCAACGCCGCGUGCGGGAUGACGGCCUUCGGGUUGUAAACCGCUUUCGCCUGUGACGAAGCGUGAGUGACGGUAAUGGGUAAAGAAGCACCGGCUAACUACGUGCCAGCAGCCGCGGUGAUACGUAGGGUGCGAGCGUUGUCCGGAUUUAUUGGGCGUAAAGGGCUCGUAGGUGGUUGAUCGCGUCGGAAGUGUAAUCUUGGGGCUUAACCCUGAGCGUGCUUUCGAUACGGGUUGACUUGAGGAAGGUAGGGGAGAGUGGAAUUCCUGGUGGAGCGGUGGAAUGCGCAGAUAUCAGGAGGAACACCAGUGGCGAAGGCGGUUCUCUGGGCCUUUCCUGACGCUGAGGAGCGAAAGCGUGGGGAGCGAACAGGCUUAGAUACCCUGGUAGCCCACGCUGUAAACGGUGGGUACUAGGUGUGGGGUCCAUUCCACGGGUUCCGUGCCGUAGCUAACGCUUUAAGUACCCCGCCUGGGGAGUACGGCCGCAAGGCUAAAACUCAAAGGAAUUGACGGGGCCCCGCACAAGCGGCGGAGCAUGCGGAUUAAUUCGAUGCAACGCGUAGAACCUUACCUGGGUUUGACAUGGAUCGGGAGUGCUCAGAGAUGGGUGUGCCUCUUUUGGGGUCGGUUCACAGGUGGUGCAUGGCUGUCGUCAGCUCGUGUCGUGAGAUGUUGGGUUAAGUCCCGCAACGAGCGCAACCCUUGUUCACUGUUGCCAGCACGUUAUGGUGGGGACUCAGUGGAGACCGCCGGGGUCAACUCGGAGGAAGGUGGGGAUGACGUCAAGUCAUCAUGCCCCUUAUGUCCAGGGCUUCACGCAUGCUACAAUGGCUGGUACAGAGAGUGGCGAGCCUGUGAGGGUGAGCGAAUCUCGGAAAGCCGGUCUCAGUUCGGAUUGGGGUCUGCAACUCGACCUCAUGAAGUCGGAGUCGCUAGUAAUCGCAAAUCAGCAACGCUGCGGUGAAUACGUUCCCGGGGCU
This 1346-nucleotide ribosomal RNA is filed under the name uncultured bacterium. RNAcentral describes it as "partial 16S ribosomal RNA". It matches the Rfam family "Bacterial small subunit ribosomal RNA", at positions 28 to 1381 of the family's 1533-position model. The record is from RNAcentral.